AUGCAAGUCGAGCGGUAACAUUUCUAGCUUGCUAGAAGAUGACGAGCGGCGGACGGGUGAGUAACGCGUAGGAAUCUGCCUAGUAGUGGGGGACAACAUGUGGAAACGCAUGCUAAUACCGCAUACGCCCUACGGGGGAAAGGAGGGGAUCUUCGGACCUUUCGCUAUUAGAUGAGCCUGCGUGAGAUUAGCUAGUUGGUGGGGUAAAGGCCUACCAAGGCGACGAUCUCUAGCUGGUCUGAGAGGAUGAUCAGCCACACUGGGACUGAGACACGGCCCAGACUCCUACGGGAGGCAGCAGUGGGGAAUAUUGGACAAUGGGCGCAAGCCUGAUCCAGCCAUGCCGCGUGUGUGAAGAAGGCCUUAGGGUUGUAAAGCACUUUCAGGAGUGAGGAAGGGCGUAUAGUUAAUACCUGUAUGUUUUGACGUUAACUCCAGAAGAAGCACCGGCUAACUCUGUGCCAGCAGCCGCGGUAAUACAGAGGGUGCGAGCGUUAAUCGGAAUUACUGGGCGUAAAGCGCGCGUAGGCGGUUUGUUAAGUCGGAUGUGAAAUCCCA
RNAcentral lists this ribosomal RNA (558 nucleotides) under uncultured bacterium. Its description in RNAcentral is "bacterial SSU rRNA". It matches the Rfam family "Bacterial small subunit ribosomal RNA", at positions 55 to 604 of the family's 1533-position model. The record is from RNAcentral.